Onychostoma macrolepis is the source of this 887-nucleotide long non-coding RNA. RefSeq lists it as uncharacterized. The record is from RefSeq and is a predicted model, not a curated record. The transcript is spliced from 3 exons. NCBI's taxonomy places the organism in Eukaryota, Metazoa, Chordata, Actinopteri, Cypriniformes, Cyprinidae.
UGAGAUUGAGUGUGCUUCUAUUCAUGUAGGCCUACAUUUCCCAGUUCUAUCACUGAACUGUUUCCCGGACAAAAAGAAGUGGUUUCAGAUCAGCUUUAAGACAAGUCAAGGCAAGUCUUACCUGAAUCAUCAGCUAGUGAGAUGUUAGUAAAAGUCUCGUCAUCUUCAUCUGCGUCUCCCUCCAUGACUGAGAGUGUUUGCAAAUCUCUCUCUCUUCCUGAAUCGAUGUGUAGUUUGUCCGGCCUUACCCUCUCAAUUAUUCACCAUCACCACAGUUACCAACCAGACCUGUGUGGUAACUCAGGUGACAAAGCUGAAGCAGACUUUAGGGCGACGCCUGCUGAGAGAUCCAAAGUUCACUCGUUCACUUUCUCAGAUUACAAAGACAUUGACUGAUGGACUGGAGUCAUGUGGAUUACUUGUGUAUUAUUGUGAUGUUUUUAUCAUCUGUUUGGACUUGUUCUGACGGCGCUGCAGAGGAUCCACUGGUGAGCAAGUGAUGUAAUGCUAAAUUUCUCCAAAUCUGUAACAAACUCAUUUAUAUCUUGGAUGGCCUGAGUAGAUUUUCAGCAAAUUUUCAUUUUUUGGUAGAAUGUUCAUUUAAUGAGAGAAAUGGACAAGCUCUAGUGAGAAUGUAAAUUAUUUUAAUAGUGCUUAUACAGACAAAGCAGAUAAGAUUAAACACACAUCCAAGACAGCACUCUGUAAAUGUGCCAGAGAAUAAAUGAGAUUAAAGCCUUAAAAACCAAACUCACAUCUAUCUAUCUAUCUAUCUAUCUAUCUAUCUAUCUAUCUAUCUAUCUAUCUAUCUAUCUAUCUAUCUAUCUAUCUAUCUAUCUAUCUAUCUAUCUGUCUGUCUGUCUGUCUGUCUGUCUGUCUGUCUGUCU